AGUGAACGCUGGCGGUAGGCCUAACACAUGCAAGUCGAACGGCAGCACAGUAGGAACUUUCUCUUACGGGUGGCGACUGGCGGAGAAUUCGUCAAUACAUCGCUAUUUGCUUUUUCUUGGGGGAUAACGUUUACGCUCAUACCGUAUUAGUCCUUCCGGCGUACGUGUGAGAGCACGAGGUCUUCCGACCUUACACGAUUCGAUGAGCCGAUGUCUGAUUAGCUAGUUGGCGGGGUAAAGGCCCACCAAGGCGACGAUCCGUAGCUGGUCUGAGAGGAUGAUCAGCCACACUGGAACUGAGACACGGUCCAGACUCCUACGGGAGGCAGCAGUGGGGAAUAUUGGACAAUGGGCGCAAGCCUGAUCCAGCCAUACCGCGUGGGUGAAGAAGGCCUUCGGGUUGUAAAGCACUUUUGUUGGGAAAGAAAAGCAGCAGGUUAAUACCCCGCUGUUAUGACGGUACCCAAAGAAUAAGCACCGGCUAACUUCGUG
RNAcentral lists this ribosomal RNA (492 nucleotides) under uncultured bacterium. RNAcentral's name for it is "partial 16S ribosomal RNA". It matches the Rfam family "Bacterial small subunit ribosomal RNA", at positions 29 to 507 of the family's 1533-position model. The record is from RNAcentral.